Molecule: long non-coding RNA, 266 nt
Organism: Hydractinia symbiolongicarpus
Lineage: Eukaryota; Metazoa; Cnidaria; Hydrozoa; Anthoathecata; Hydractiniidae
Exons: 2
Source: RefSeq, a predicted model, not a curated record
AUGUCGAAACAUAAAGGCGUCAAUGCGCGUUGAUUGUGGCUACCAUGGAAUUAGUCCGUUGGAUUGCUUGAGAAAGGGAUGUUGUUAUGGCGAAUUAAAGGUGGCUGGCCCGUGGUGUUAUCAUCAAAAAGCAAACUGUCCCAUGAUUGAAGCAAACAAACGUGAAGAUUGUGGUUACCCUGGGAUAAGCAAAUCAGAUUGCGUCAAAAAAGGAUGCUGUUACAACGCAAUCAAGGAAAAGGGACCGUGGUGUUAUUACAGGCAAG